CGCCAGUCUGCAUGGAGCCGACCUUGAAAUACCACCCUUUAAUGUUUGAUGUUCUAACGUUGACCCGUAAUCCGGGUUGCGGACAGUGUCUGGUGGGUAGUUUGACUGGGGCGGUCUCCUCCUAAAGAGUAACGGAGGAGCACGAAGGUUGGCUAAUCCUGGUCGGACAUCAGGAGGUUAGUGCAAUGGCAUAAGCCAGCUUGACUGCGAGCGUGACGGCGCGAGCAGGUGCGAAAGCAGGUCAUAGUGAUCCGGUGGUUCUGAAUGGAAGGGCCAUCGCUCAACGGAUAAAAGGUACUCCGGGGAUAACAGGCUGAUACCGCCCAAGAGUUCAUAUCGACGGCGGUGUUUGGCACCUCGAUGUCGGCUCAUCACAUCCUGGGGCUGAAGUAGGUCCCAAGGGUAUGGCUGUUCGCCAUUUAAAGUGGUACGCGAGCUGGGUUUAGAACGUCGUGAGACAGUUCGGUCCCUAUCUGCCGUGGGCGCUGGAGAACUGAGGGGGGCUGCUCCUAGUACGAGAGGACCGGAGUGGACGCAUCACUGGUGUUCGGGUUGUCAUGCCAAUGGCACUGCCCGGUAGCUAAAUGCGGAAGAGAUAAGUGCUGAAAGCAUCUAAGCACGAAACUUGCCCCGAGAUGAGUUCUCCCUGACUCCUUGAGAGUCCUGAAGGAACGUUGAAGACGACGACGUUGAUAGGCCGGGUGUGUAAGCGCAGCGAUGCGUUGAGCUAACCGGUACUAAUGAACCGUGAGG
Molecule: ribosomal RNA, 753 nt
Filed under: Escherichia coli
Lineage: Bacteria; Pseudomonadati; Pseudomonadota; Gammaproteobacteria; Enterobacterales; Enterobacteriaceae
Description: partial 23S ribosomal RNA
Rfam family: Bacterial large subunit ribosomal RNA
Source: RNAcentral